Gasterosteus aculeatus aculeatus (three-spined stickleback) is the source of this 4164-nucleotide long non-coding RNA. NCBI's taxonomy places the organism in Eukaryota, Metazoa, Chordata, Actinopteri, Perciformes, Gasterosteidae. The record is from Ensembl.
CCCCCCCCUCACGCCAGAUAACGAGCAGCCGCUCGGGCCUCCGGUAGUUUGUUAUUGCACGACUGCGAUUGUGAAUAACACGCUCAGCCUCUCCGCUCCGGGGGUUUAGUCUGAUGCGUCUCGCCCGACGCGGAGGAGCCGGAAGGACGCCCAGAUGCCGCUGAUUAACCGGGGCGCAGGAAGCCCGCGUGUAAACACGGAGGAGGACGAGGAGGCCGCCGCCGGCCGCGCCGCUUCUCAUGAGUGUUGUGAGCUGCUGCUGGGCCUGAAUAUCAGAUGGGGGCUUUGAGGAAGGAUUUACACGAGCGCUACUCUGUAAAAUGCUUUUUACUAUUACAGUAGUAGUAGUAUUUGAUCCACUGUUACGUCCUCGUCCAAAUCCGUCCAUCUGAAUCCACAGCAGAAUGAAACACUCGUGUAUUUGAUGUAGAACUAAAGAGAUUGACUCACACACACACACACACGCGCGCACACAGGAGACGCACACUCCCGCAAUCUGCUAAAUUCCCCAGCGUCGAAAAUUCCACAAGUCAGGGAGUGAAUGAAUGCAUCCUUAUAUGCCCCCCCCUCUCUUUCCUGUCUGUGUUCCUCUUCCCGUGUGCGACUCCUGGAUCCCAAAACGCCACCCGAGGAGGCAGCGUCCUAUUUAGGUUCACUUUUACGCGCCCGGCAGAUUUAUGUGAGGAAUCCAGUGGGCUGUUUGGUUCAGGAAGCAAAAGGGGAUCAGCAGGGGAACUAGGGGCUAUCACACACACACACACACACACACACACACACACACACACACACAGAUAGUUGUGUGUACACAUGGAGGAAACACUCAACACACAUAGUCACACGUACAGGAAACACUAAACCGCAAAUACCUACACAACCACGGAUAUAUAUUUACACACACGCACGCGCAAACAUGUGGAGGAAAGCCAUGUCCACAGGACGAGCAUUCACACAUACAGGAAGCACUCGACCCCAAGUGACUGUACACACACACACACACGCACACACGCACACACACACGCACACACACACACACACACGCACACACGCACACACACACGCACACACGCACAGCUACGGGACGAAUGAGUGUUCUAUCAACAGGUCCAACUCCAGUAUCAUUUCCUUCCUGAGGUUCACCGCAAACGUUACAGGCCUGCUGGCUCAUUCGCAGCGUAGAAGGGCGGCUAUCUGGGUCACCACACGUGCACACACGUGCACACACACACACACGCGCACGUAAAGAUUAAGGUACCUCCGACUCGUGCAGAGAGACAGGACAUGCUGGUAGACACAUACAAAGACAUAACAUGCCGCCACAGGACCCUAAAAAAAUGCAAAGAUACCACCCAUGUAAAUGUAGGCUCAUCCCCGACACACACACACACACACACACACACACACACACACAGACACACACACGCCCCCGUAGAGGGAAAGCCCAGAGAGGACGCCGAAGCGAUUCGUUUAUCAUCCGCAGUGCUGACAGAUCCCGGCGAUGUGUGACCGCAAACCAAACAAGCAUCAAUCUCCGGGCUGCAGGAGCAGCAGUGAGGAGUCUGUGAGGAGUCAGUGAGGAGGCUGUGAGGAGUCUGUGAGGAGGCUGUGAGGAGUCAGUGAGGAGGCUGUGAGGAGGCUGUGAGGAGGCUGUGAGGAGUCUGUGAGGAGUCUGUGAGGAGGCUGUGAGGAGUCAGUGAGGAGGCUGUGAGGAGUCUGUGAGGAGGCUGUGAGGAGUCUGUGAGGAGGCUGUGAGGAGUCUGUGAGGAGGCUGUGAGGAGUCAGUGAGGAGGCUGUGAGGAGUCUGUGAGGAUUCUGUGAGGAGUCUGUGAGGAGUCGGUGAGGAGGCUGUGAGGAGGCUGUGAGGAGUCAGUGAGGAGUCUGUGAGGAGGCUGUGAGGAGUCUGUGAGGAGUCGGUGAGGAGGCUGUGAGGAGGCUGUGAGGAGUCAGUGAGGAGUCUGUGAGGAGGCUGUGAGGAGGCGGUGAGGAGGCUGUGAGGAGUCAGUGAGGAGUCUGUGAGGAGGCUGUGAGGAGUCUGUGAGGAGGCGGUGAGUUUCCGUCCACCUGAUGAGAUUAUAUGAACAGUUUAUGGGGGCGUUUCAUCAGCGUUUACCUGCGAUGCUCAAAUAACAAAGAGAAAAGUCUGUUUCCAGCACUUGUUGCUGUUUAGGAAAGUUUGUGUUCACGUUACAAUCCGAUGGAAUCAGGUUGAGAUCAAUGUCACCGACCAAAGGUCCACGGUAGCCAUAGCAACGCAGCUUCGAUGAGCCCCUGAUGGUGAAGAUACGGGGAGAGCUUGAUCUAUUUAUCUACACAUGCUCUUUUUUUGUGCAUUUCCACAUGUCAGCAUGCGCCCAGAUUCCUGCAUGUGUUCCUCAGUGUGUGUGUGUGUGUGUGUGUGUGUGUCGUGUGAUAGCAACAGAAGGCCUAAUAAUACGAGGACGGGGCGAGAGGAAGGAGUUAACCCCCCCCACACACACACACGCACACACACGCACACACACACACACACACACACGUCGGCGGUGAAAGCACCUCUUCAGCACACGGCAGCUGUUCACAUUUCCUGCGUAUUGGAUGUCCGAGCGGUGGCUCUCUCUCGCUCGCUGAGUGCUUUAUUAACAGAUGGACUUCCCGCGCUGCGCUAAUAUUGAGAAAUGGGAGAAAUGUGGAGAGCUGUGUGGACACACACACACACACACACACACACACACAGCUGCUGCUGUUGCUCAGGAAGUGUGUGUGUGUGUAGAUAUUCAUUGCAGUGUUCCCUCUGUUUGCAUGUUUCAGCUGUGUGUGUGUGUGUGUGUUUUUCUGUGCGCAUGAUCCUCUCAAGACUGUACUUGAGUCUUCCGUGUGUGUGUGUGUGUGUGUGUGUGUGUGUGUGUGUGUGUGUGUGUGCGCGUGUGAGCAGCUCGUGUGGGACAGCUAUGUGGCGGAGGAAUUCCCCUUUGACCUCAUCCCGCCACCAUUGAUUCACAUGGAGUGAUUCGAUUAGCAGGAAAACGCUGACGGCUGUCAGCACCUCGCGCGCCGCCACGUUGGACCCCGCCCAGCUAAAGGGCCCGUUUCACCUGUUGGAAGGCGAGCGACCUAAUGCGACCUUCUAGCGGCGGUCCGUCAGAGCGAGCAGCGCGGUGAAGGCACCCAAUGGCCGGAUGACGGCGUUUCUCCAACUCCUUCAGGAGUCCAUGGACUUCAACCUGGAUGCGAUUGUUCGUUUCACUUUGGCUUUUCCUUUUUUUUAAUAACACCUACUCUUUAUUUCCCACACCUCUCCAAACCUUUGCGGUUUACUUGUGUCUCCUUCACACUGUUGUUCCGACUGUUUCUCAUUCAUUCACUGGCUGGGAAGAAGAGAUGUAAACUUGUAAAAGCAACAUAAACACCGAGGGAUCCUUCACAUAACAGGACCAAGCAGACUCAUUGAGAGAAGAUCUGUGAUCACCUCACAGCGGGUUCUCACACCCAUUGGAGACCACAUUCUUAAGAGAUUGGGGAUUCCCCAUUUCUGUCAGUGGGAGGAAUAACUUCACAUCGCCCGGAGCCGGCGGCGUAGACUGCUUUCCGUCUCUCCGUCCGCCCCGAGCCACAGACAAAGCUAUGAACCGCAAACAUGAUUAUCAUAAUCAGUUUAGUCCCCGAAGGUUAAAAGCAGCAACAUCUGAUGGACUCAAGAAAGUCAAGAAAGCUUCGAAAGCCUCAUUUUCACUGUAGAGAGUUUGAUAAGACACCAAUUGCCCGAGUCCAUUACUGAAAUUACCCCUAAACCUCAUCCGUCCCCCUCGGCUUCCUGCAGCUUGACCUGGCACACGGUCCCUGGCACGGCGUGACUUAUUACCCCCCCCCGCGCCCGCCGCUCCUGCCAACCGCCUCUCGCCCAUUCGUCACCCGGGUAUGUAAACGCAACCGAGCGCUUCCUCCGCGUACGGACGACACAAACCAGGCAGCUUCCUGUGUACCUCCGGCGGGUCGGGAUGGCAAGGGGGAGCAACACGGAGUCUGUGUUUAUCUCAAGUGUCUCCCGCCAUCCGCAGACGCAUUUGUUAACUCAGCCAACCAUCAAGAGUGCCGCUCGCCUCAGAGCUGCACUCGCUCGGCGGGAACAGGCCGCCGAUGGACGGCGCUGUUUGAUAGGUUUUUUUCUCCCCCUCACCCCCCACCCCCCCC